Molecule: ribosomal RNA, 247 nt
Filed under: uncultured bacterium
Lineage: Bacteria
Description: partial 16S ribosomal RNA
Rfam family: Bacterial small subunit ribosomal RNA
Source: RNAcentral
AUACGGAGGUGGCGAGCGUUAAUCGGAAUUACUGGGCGUAAAGCGUGCGCAGGCGGUUAUGUAAGACAGAUGUGAAAUCCCCGGGCUCAACCUGGGAACUGCGUUUGUGACUGCAUAACUAGAGUACGGCAGAGGGAGGUGGAAUUCCACGUGUAGCAGUGAAAUGCGUAGAGAUGUGGAGGAACACCGAUGGCGAAGGCAGCCUCCUGGGCCAGUACUGACGCUCAUGCACGAAAGCGUGGGGAGC